This 449-nucleotide ribosomal RNA is filed under the name uncultured bacterium. Its description in RNAcentral is "bacterial SSU rRNA". It matches the Rfam family "Bacterial small subunit ribosomal RNA", at positions 355 to 796 of the family's 1533-position model. The record is from RNAcentral.
UGGGGAAUAUUGGACAAUGGGGGCAACCCUGAUCCAGCAAUGCCGCGUGUGUGAAGAAGGCCUUCGGGUUGUAAAGCACUUUAGGUUGGGAGGAAGGUGUGUAGUUUAAGAGAUGACACACUUGACUGUACCGACAGAAUAAGCACCGGCUAACUCUGUGCCAGCAGCCGCGGUAAUACAGAGGGUGCGAGCGUUAAUCGGAGUUACUGGGCGUAAAGGGCGCGUAGGCGGUUUAAUAAGAUUGAUGUGAAAUCCCUGGGCUUAACCUAGGAACUGCAUCGAUGACUGUUAAGCUGGAGUAUUGCAGAGGGUAGUAGAAUUUCCGGUGUAGCGGUGAAAUGCGUAGAGAUCGGAAGGAAUACCAGUGGCGAAGGCGGCUACCUGGGCAAAUACUGACGCUGAGGCGCGAGAGCGUGGGGAGCAAACAGGAUUAGAUACCCCCGUAGUCC